ACAUUUUUUCUGGAUGAACUGCUGGUUGGUUUUUUUCUCCAUAAAUACGAUAAAUUAUCAUAUCAUAUGAAAUGUCAAGAUAUACUGAAAAUAUGCCCUGUAUGAUGGUGGUCUGGCAUUUUAGAAUUGUUUUGGGCAAUUCAUGUUUGUAUGCAUUUUUUCUUUUGGCCCUUGAAGGCAUCUUUAAUAGUUUGCAAUUGCGAUAGAAAUUGCUGUGCUCGUAUCUUUAGUUUUAAUUACAAUUGGUCGAUCUACAACGAGUGCGUCUGAUUCCAACUCAUCAAGGUGAGCUCCCUCUUUUAUUCUUCUCAGGUAAUGAGGCGUCAGUGUAGGCCCAAUCUUUUUGUUUGUUGCUUUGAAGAGUGUUGUCAUGUUGUGGAAAGGCAACAUGUGCUUGAUAUGUGGAGUUGGUGUUGAGCCUGGCGGUAGUAGACAGGGAAGGCACCCAUCUCACUUGAUCUUGAGAGUUGAUUCAUAUCUUCUUUUCUUGACCUGAUUGAGUUCCUGUAUAUGCAAGGAUAAAGAAGAAGGGGCAUUGUCGUGGUUGUUGCUUAAGGUGUUGGUCAGGAGCUGAUUGCCGGGACUGAUGACAAGAACGGAGAGCAGGAUGAGUAUGUCAACAUGAUGUUCCUUGAUGUUGGCCUUCUUUUAUAAAGUUCACAUGCAAACUCUCCUCCAUGGUUAGAAAAAACUAAUUUAAACAUUUUGUUUCUUUGGUGGUUACUCAUUUCUCUUACCAUUGUUGUAUCAAAACAAUUGUAUUUUCGUUGAUGGCCACUUAGGCUCAUUUUUGAGGAGAAUGAGAUGUGGAAUAAACUACUCUGAAAUGGUUGGUUCCCUUCAGACAGUUUAUUAGCUAACUAAUUUUGGCUGCUGGUGCACAUGAUACAAUUGUGCUAUGUUGUUUCCAUCUUGCAUUUUAUGUGAGCUUAAACAGACAAUCAAUUAAACUUUUAC
RNAcentral lists this long non-coding RNA (957 nucleotides) under Triticum aestivum (bread wheat). RNAcentral's name for it is "long non-coding RNA (TAES_LNC020697)". The record is from RNAcentral. Lineage: Eukaryota; Viridiplantae; Streptophyta; Magnoliopsida; Poales; Poaceae.